UACGGAGGAUGCGAGCGUUAUCCGGAUUUAUUGGGUUUAAAGGGUGCGUAGGCGGCUUUUUAAGUCAGCGGUGAAAUUUUGCAGCUUAACUGUAACAGUGCCGUUGAUACUGGGGAUCUAGGAUUUGGUUGCUGUGGGUGGAAUGUGUGGUGUAGCGGUGAAAUGCUUAGAGAUCACACAGAAUAUCGAUUGCGAAGGCAGCUCACAAAGCCAAGAUUGACGCUGAGGCACGAAGGCGUGGGGAUCAAACAGGAUUAGA
This 259-nucleotide ribosomal RNA is filed under the name uncultured prokaryote. RNAcentral's name for it is "partial 16S ribosomal RNA". It matches the Rfam family "Bacterial small subunit ribosomal RNA", at positions 524 to 782 of the family's 1533-position model. The record is from RNAcentral.